AAGUCGUAACAAGGUAUCCGUAGGUGAACCUGCGGAUGGAUCAUUAUUGGUCUAUUUUGAUAUUUGUGGGACACUAUUUGUUUUAAAACUACUAACGGUUUUUUCUAAAAUUAUACACUCCCACCGCUGGAUCUCUUGGCUCUC
Molecule: unclassified non-coding RNA, 144 nt
Filed under: fungal sp.
Lineage: Eukaryota; Fungi
Description: partial internal transcribed spacer region
Rfam family: Eukaryotic small subunit ribosomal RNA (bases 1-46)
Source: RNAcentral